Molecule: ribosomal RNA, 463 nt
Filed under: uncultured bacterium
Lineage: Bacteria
Description: partial 16S ribosomal RNA
Rfam family: Bacterial small subunit ribosomal RNA
Source: RNAcentral
GAUGAACGCUGACAGAAUGCUUAACACAUGCAAGUCUUUGGCGAAGCUGUGCUUGCACAGCCUAGCCAAGGCGGACGGGUGAGUAACGCGUAAGGAACUUGCCCUGCAGUCAGGGAUAACAGACGGAAACGACUGAUAAGACCUGGUAAAGUCAGGCGGACUCAUGUCCAGCCUGAUGAAAAGAGAUGCUGCAGGAGAGCCUUGCGUCCUAUUAGCUUGUUGGUGGGGUAACGGCCCACCAAGGCGAUGAUAGGUAGCCGGCCUGAGAGGUUGGACGGCCACAAGGGGACUGAGAUACGGCCCUUACUCCUACGGGAGGCAGCAGUGGGGAAUAUUGGACAAUGGGGGCAACCCUGAUCCAGCAAUUCUGUGUGCACGAUGAAGGUUUUCGGAUUGUAAAGUGCUUUCAGCAGGGAAGAAAAAAAUGACGGUACCUGCAGAAGAAGCGACGGCUAAAUACGUG